GUAGUCAUAUGCUUGUCUCAAAGAUUAAGCCAUGCAUGUCUAAGUAUAAGCAAUUUGUACGGUGAAACUGCGAAUGGCUCAUUAUAUCAGUUAUGGUUUAUUUGAUAGUACCUUACUACAUGGAUACCUGUGGUAAUUCUAGAGCUAAUACAUGCUUAAAACCCCGACUUCGGAAGGGGUGUAUUUAUUAGAUAAAAAACCAAUGCCCUUCGGGGCUCCUUGGUGAAUCAUAAUAACUUAUCGAAUCGCAUGGCCUUGCGCUGGCGAUGGUUCAUUCAAAUUUCUGCCCUAUCAACUUUCGAUGGUAGGAUAGUGGCCUACCAUGGUGGCAACGGGUAACGGGGAAU
RNAcentral lists this ribosomal RNA (347 nucleotides) under uncultured fungus. RNAcentral describes it as "SSU rRNA". It matches the Rfam family "Eukaryotic small subunit ribosomal RNA", at positions 20 to 370 of the family's 1831-position model. The record is from RNAcentral. Lineage: Eukaryota; Fungi.